GGUUAUGUAGCUCAGUGGUAGAGUGCUUGCUUAGUAUGCACGAGGUUCUGGGUUUAAUUCCCAGGACUG
This 69-nucleotide transfer RNA is filed under the name Ictidomys tridecemlineatus (thirteen-lined ground squirrel). RNAcentral describes it as "Spermophilus tridecemlineatus (thirteen-lined ground squirrel) tRNA". It matches the Rfam family "tRNA". Rfam says of the family: Transfer RNA (tRNA) molecules are approximately 80 nucleotides in length. Their secondary structure includes four short double-helical elements and three loops (D, anti-codon, and T loops). Lineage: Eukaryota; Metazoa; Chordata; Mammalia; Rodentia; Sciuridae. The record is from Rfam by way of RNAcentral.